AUUGAACGCUGGCGGCAUGCUUUACACAUGCAAGUCGAACGGCAGCGGGGGCUUCGGCCUGCCGGCGAGUGGCGAACGGGUGAGUAAUGCAUCGGAACGUGCCCAGUCAUGGGGGAUAACUACGCGAAAGCGUAGCUAAUACCGCAUACGCCCUGAGGGGGAAAGCGGGGGAUCGCAAGACCUCGCGUGAUUGGAGCGGCCGAUGUCGGAUUAGCUAGUUGGUGGGGUAAAGGCCUACCAAGGCGACGAUCCGUAGCGGGUCUGAGAGGAUGAUCCGCCACACUGGGACUGAGACACGGCCCAGACUCCUACGGGAGGCAGCAGUGGGGAAUUUUGGACAAUGGGGGGCAACCCUGAUCCAGCCAUGCCGCGUGAGUGAAGAAGGCCUU
Molecule: ribosomal RNA, 389 nt
Filed under: uncultured bacterium
Lineage: Bacteria
Description: bacterial SSU rRNA
Rfam family: Bacterial small subunit ribosomal RNA
Source: RNAcentral